RNAcentral lists this long non-coding RNA (925 nucleotides) under Astyanax mexicanus (Mexican tetra). RNAcentral describes it as "lncRNA (ENSAMXG00005007400.1)". The record is from RNAcentral. Lineage: Eukaryota; Metazoa; Chordata; Actinopteri; Characiformes; Acestrorhamphidae.
GAUUAAUCCUUGCUUCUAUUUCUUUUCACAAUUACCGGUAUUGAGAAAAUGCAUGUAUCUUUCAGGAAUUUAAUCUGAUUCAGUAGAACUGAUUGAGGUUAAGAAACUUUAGCAUUAGUAGUAAAUAAAUUGGUUUGCCCUUUUAUCAAUAGAGGGAACUCCCCAGGAAAGCAUCUGUGAAAUGUGGCUUGUGUUGUGACCCCCUGUAACAGGACGGGCAGGUUUAUUCAUAGUGUUUGCUUGUCCCAGUGAUUUUCUGAGCUGAAAUUAUCGUUUAUAGUGUUUUUUCCUCUAUCUUAGUGAGUUUCCUCUGCUUUUUCCUAGGUACAUUUCCCGGGUCCUUCGCAGGCUUCCCUCACAAACUUACUCCGAAAUGGGUCAACAGUGGCAUCGCCAGCCCCGCUCACAGAGACCCCAAAACCUAGUGGGAUCAUACCAGGUGCGAUAGCUGCUGCGCUGUUCAUAAGCUUCAUUCUGGCUCUCUAUACAGUUCUGUGGAAAUGCAUGGUCUCCCCACCCAGAAGGUGAGAGAGAAGAUGAUAUAUAGGUGGAAUCCUUGUUUUUUCACUAAUUAGGUUAAUAUAUAUGCAAAGUAUGAUAUAUGCAAAAUAUGAGCUGUGAACAAUAAUUCAGUUAAAAUACUCAAUCUAAGUGUAAACUGGGAGGUCUUCACUGUGGAAAAUCCUAAAGCAAGCAUAUUGUCUAUAAUACCCUGAAAAAAUCUCCAAAAUGAUAUAUUUACAAGACAUUUUUUAUUUUAAUUGUAAUAAUAUACAGCUCUGGAAAAAAAGAGACCACUUCAGUUUCUGAAUCAAUUUCUCUGAUUUCGCUAUUUAUAUGUAUACGCUUGAGUAAAAUGAACUACGGACAACACUUCUCCCAAAUUCCAAAUAAAAGCAUUUAUUUGUAGAAAAUAAGAAAUGGC